Molecule: small nuclear RNA, 103 nt
Organism: Gorilla gorilla gorilla (western lowland gorilla)
Lineage: Eukaryota; Metazoa; Chordata; Mammalia; Primates; Hominidae
Source: Ensembl
GUGCUUGUUUCAGCAGCACAUAGACUAAAACUGGAAUGAUACAAAGAAGAUUAGCAUGGCCCCAAUGCAAGGAUGAGAAAUUCAUGAAGCAUUCUAUAAUUUU